GGGUGUGCGAGUGAGGAUCGCCGGUAGCACGACCUUGGUCGCCAAGCUACCGGAGGAAAGUCCGAGCUCCACAGGGCAGGGUGCCGGGUAACGCCCGGGCGCCGUCUGGUGGCGGCGACGGAAAGCGCAACAGAGAGCAGACCGCCGAUGGCCUCCGCGAGGAGGCUCAGGCAAGGGUGAAACGGUGCGGUAAGAGCGCACCGGGCGUCCGGUAACGGAUGUCGCACGGCAAGCCCCACCCGGAGCAAGGCCAAAUAGGGGACGAGGGGUGGCCCGCCCCGUCCGAGUCCCGGGUAGGUCGCUAGAGGCCGGCGGCGACGCCGGUCCCAGAGAAAUGGUCCUCCCCCGCUUCGGCGGGGACAGAACUCGGCUUAUUCCGCGCGCUCGAUG
RNAcentral lists this RNase P RNA (390 nucleotides) under Gemmatimonadota bacterium. RNAcentral describes it as "RNase P RNA component class A". It matches the Rfam family "Bacterial RNase P class A". Rfam says of the family: Ribonuclease P (RNase P) is a ubiquitous endoribonuclease, found in archaea, bacteria and eukarya as well as chloroplasts and mitochondria. The record is from RNAcentral. Lineage: Bacteria; Pseudomonadati; Gemmatimonadota.